UGUAGUUUGCGUUCAGCUUUAGAACAAAAAUCUGUCUUUUUUUUUUUUGAGACAGAGCUUUGCUCUUGUUGCCCAGGCUGGAGUGCAAUGGUACAAUCUCGGCUCUCUGCAACCUCCACCUCCUGGGUUCGGGUGAUUCUCCUGCCUCAGCCUCCUGAGUAGCUGGGAUUACAGGUGUGCAUCACCAUGCCCAACUAAUUUUUUGUAUUUUUAAUAGAGACAAGGUUUCACUGUGUUGGCCAGGCUGGUCUUGAACUCCUGACCUCAAGUGAUUCACCCACCUUGGCUUCCCAAAGUGCUGGAUUACAGGCAUGAGCCACCGUGCCUGGCCAGAGGCCUGUGUUGUGACCCAAGUUUUUUGUUUUUAUCAGGAUUCCAUCGUCCAUGAUGGCUAUUUCUCAAGUUCUCUGCUCUGUUUUGGACCUCCCUGCAUCUCUCCCUGCGUCACCAUCCCUGGGCGCUCAGGGCUGCUCCUCUGCCCUCUGCAGGGCCUCCGUGGUGUGCUCUGUCCUUCCCUCCUGCCGUUCAAAGGCAUCUGCAUCCUUUGUUGUAGCCAGAUUUCUCACUCUGUAUUGCUUUUCUUCCUAGGCACUUAAAUAUCCUCAUCUAUCUCCAAGUGCCUUCCUUGACACCUUGCAUCUCCAAUAGAACGUUCUGUGACAAUGGCCAUGUUCUUAUAUUUGCACUGUCCACUAUGGUAGCCACUAGCCACGUGUCGCUGCUGAAGCCUUGAACUGUGGCUAGUGCGACUGAGGAAUGGAAUUUAACAUUGUAUCUUAUUGUAGUGGUUACCAUAUUGAAUGGCAUAGCUUAAGACCUGUCCUGUCUCCUUCCUCAACCCAGUUAGUUAGAUGUCUCUUCAAGGGUUGUUAUUCUAGAGCUAGGGCCCACCUGUAGUCCCAGCUACUUGGAGAGGCUGAGUCAGGGGGGUUACUUGAGCCUAGGAGUUUUGAGACUGCAGUGAGUGCCUGUGAAUAGCCACUGCACUCCAGCUGGGCAACAGAGUGAGACCUCAUAUUUAAAAAAAAAAAAAAAAGUUGUUUCAUUUGUCUCCAUUUCCCUUUCUUUACACACUCCGCUGCUGCUAUGAUACAGUUUCUAUUCUGAUACUCCACCAUCCCCCUAAGCCAUUAACAGUCAUGGACAUUUAUUAUUAUUAUUAUUAGUAUUUGAGAUGGAGUCUUGCACUGUUGCCCAGGCUGGAGUGCAGUGGUGCAAUCUUGGCUCACUGCAACCUCUGCUUCCCAGGUUCAAGUGAUUCUCCUGCCUCAGCCUCCUGAGCAGCUGAGAUUACAGGAAUACACCACCACGCCCAGCUAAUUUUUUGUAUUUUAUUAGAGAUGGGGUUUCACCGUGUUGCCCAGGUUGGUCUCGAACUCCUGAGCUCAGGCAAUCCACCUGCCUCGGCCUCCCAGACUGCUUGGAUUACAGGCGUGAGCCACCAUGCCUGGCCGACAUUUUUAAUUCUAAAUGUUGUUUUGAAACCUAAGAGACAGGAUCUUGCCUUGUUGCCGAGGCUGGCCUUGAACUUGGCCUGAGCUCAAGCCAUUCUCCCACUUCAGCCUCUUGAGUAGCUGGGAUCAUAGGCAUGUGCCACCGUGGUCAGCAGCAGAGACUUUUUUCUUAAAAGACGACCAGAUUGGCUAGAAUCAUGGUAUCUUCAUGUCAGAAAGGGCCUCCUCUCCAGGGUUUGGAUAAAGAUUGAGGUGCACCCGGGGCUACACUAAAAGAGAUUUAGCCCCGCAUUUAGGUCAGGCGUGGUGGCUCAUGCCUAUAAUCCCAACACCUUGAGAGGCCAAGGUGGAUGGAUCACCUGAGGUCAGAAGUUCGAGACCA
This 1836-nucleotide long non-coding RNA is filed under the name Homo sapiens (human). RNAcentral describes it as "HSALNT0401322". The record is from RNAcentral. Lineage: Eukaryota; Metazoa; Chordata; Mammalia; Primates; Hominidae.